AACGAACGCUGGCGGCAGGCCUAACACAUGCAAGUCGAGCGAGAUCUUCGGGUCUAGCGGCGGACGGGUGAGUAACGCGUGGGAAUAUGCCUCUUGGUACGGAAUAGCCUCGGGAAACUGGGAGUAAUACCGUAUGUGCCCUUUGGGGGAAAGAUUUAUCGCCAAGAGAUUAGCCCGCGUUGGAUUAGGUAGUUGGUGGGGUAAUGGCCUACCAAGCCGACGAUCCAUAGCUGGUUUGAGAGGAUGAUCAGCCACACUGGGACUGAGACACGGCCCAGACUCCUACGGGAGGCAGCAGUGGGGAAUCUUAGACAAUGGGGGCAACCCUGAUCUAGCCAUGCCGCGUGAGUGAUGAAGGCCUUAGGGUUGUGAAGCUCUUUCAGCUGGGAAGAUAAUGACGGUACCAGCAGAAGAAGCCCCGGCUAACUCCGUG
This 433-nucleotide ribosomal RNA is filed under the name uncultured bacterium. RNAcentral describes it as "partial 16S ribosomal RNA". It matches the Rfam family "Bacterial small subunit ribosomal RNA", at positions 29 to 507 of the family's 1533-position model. The record is from RNAcentral.